UCAAUGCUCAUACAGGUGGAACACAAGAGAUCUGAUGUCCAGAUGUUCAAAGUUACAUACACUUGAAUGGACUAAUAGACUUCAUAUUCUCAGCAAAAUAUAUAACUGAAGAUCAAAUGUGAAUUCGUAAAAAACAUUAUAUUAAGAUGAAUCAACUAAUCUAGAUGCCAUUACACACAUUACUGACUUUCAGAAAUGCUAAGUAAGUAAUUGAGAUUGUAAAUUUAAGGAAGACGGUCUGCAUUCAUGAGAUUUCAAGCAGUUACAACUUCCAUGCUUUCACUUCAUCUCCUAGAGAAUCAAGGAGUACCUGGAGUUUGAAACGCAAUACAGGAGAAGGAUUAGCAACAAAGCAGUAGCAAGAUAGUGUCCUAACAGCAAAAUUAACCAAAAAAAUCAAUGAGAAACCAUUCUAAACCAAGUUUGGAUUCACAGCCACAACAUCUAACCCCUAGAUCGAGUGCAGUCUGAGCCUGAAACCCAGCCCUCGAACAACAAACAAAAUUCAACUCAUUUUUUAAGCCCUCAACUGUUCUAUAUUCAUAUUCUAGUCAAUAUCGAUAGAAUUUACAAAGAUCAUUUCAAUGGAACACUAGACCUUAGCGAAUUCUUUCAGAUUUAGCAACUCCAAAUUUGUAGAGUUUGAAAUGAUCCUUCCUUCUCUCUCUAAAAAUCUGAAUUGAAUCCCAAGUAACAUUGCCUUUAUAGGCAAGUUACUAGGGCAAACUUCAGACCUAAGUUUUUAACACUUAGCCCUUUUCAAUUUUCCAUUUUGAACCAAUU
This 783-nucleotide long non-coding RNA is filed under the name Nicotiana benthamiana. RNAcentral describes it as "long non-coding RNA (NBEN_LNC033222)". Lineage: Eukaryota; Viridiplantae; Streptophyta; Magnoliopsida; Solanales; Solanaceae. The record is from RNAcentral.